GAAACUUGAGAAUAUAAUUGGGAAAACUAAAUUUAUGAAAGUCAAUCAUGUUUUAUAUAUAGGUGAAGAAGAAUUGAUGGUGUGGAUGGCAUUUUCACAAUCAAGUCCUCUUGGGAAAACAUUUUGAGUACGUUAAAUUAAUUUUCAGGACCGACAUCAGCAAGGUGGUGGAAUAUGACUUUUCAGCAUUUAUUCACUUACAGAAACAUCCAUCAAAACAACUAUCCAUGUGCAAAAGUAUCUUCAUAAAAACUAAGGAAACCAGCAGGUGCAAGCAAGCUCUGGGUACAGAAGACCACAUCUUGACCUUGAACAAUACUUAGCAUAUGUGCCAGCAGGAGGCUGCAGCACACCCCGAGCGACCACAACCAGAUGCAGCUGAGGCAAGGAUUCAAUUAUGGAGAAAAGAGGAUCGAUCUGUAAAGGCCUUUUAGGUGUUAGCAAGCAAAGCAUUAUUUGCUGCUUUUAAAUUUGCAACGUAAUUGAAUUUAGUGUGCACCACAGCAUACGAAGGAGGGUCUAUGUUUAAAUUAUUUGUGCCAAAGGGGAAAUUGUAAUUAAAAUUUUUUGAACAUUAUGGACGUGAGAGAAAGAAACCACAAAUGAGACCCCCUGACUGUGGCUGCCUCCAUUGUAAAUUGUGAAGCUGCAUAAGAACACAUCAAAUGCUAUUCUCUGAGAGAUAAAGAUAUAGGCGUGCGUAAAUUGAUACUUUCUCCAAAGAGAGAAAAUGAAUGGUGCCAAGUUUUUCUCAACUCAACCUUAGUUCUCAGUGGAUUUUGGACAACUGUCAUAAACAAUCGAACAGCCUGGUAAGACUAAACACAAGAAUGUGCUCCGUAUCUACAUUGCUUCAUUCAAAGUCCAUGUAACUUGUAUUAUGAUCUUUGGUAAUGCUUUCAGAAACAGAACAUAAUUUGACUAGCUAUAACUGCUAUUCAUAUAAGGACUGGCAAAUCUAACCUCAGUAAGCAGGGGUCAGUACUGUGAUAAUCUUGUAUGUCCUAUCAAAUUUUUGACUCUUAAAUAGUAAGGCUCAAAGGAGAUUUGGAGUUGAACAAAUAUAAUUUCUGAGUACCUGAAGGAACUACACUUGCUUGAGUUAGAGACAGCACAGGUUGCUACUAAAAUAAUUCCAAUGUAUAUAAAAUGAGACCCUAAUUUGUGGUUUCAGCUUGUUAAGGACUGAAUUACGUUCACCCCAGAAUUUAUAUUUAUAACCCCCAAUACCCCUGACUGUGACCAUAGAGGGUCUUUACAGGUAUGAUUAAGUUAAAAUGAGUUAAUUAAGGUUGGUCCUAAUCUAAAAUCACUGGUAUCCUUAUAAGAAGAGGAAAUUUGGACAUAGACAUGUACAGAGGGAAGAGGAUGUGAAAACAAGGCAGAAGAGUGCUAUCUAUAAGCCAAACAGAGAGAACUGGUACAGAGUCCUCCUCCACCUGCUUUAGAAGGAACCAACUCUGCUAUCACCUUGAAACGAGUUUGUCAAAAAUUCCGUGGAAAGUACAUUUGGUCAUUUUUGCUUUCCUUUCUACCUAAGUAGGGGAGAGACUAAAUAAGUUUUCCCUCUCUGCAAACUUAAAGUUUCCCUCCGACAGGUUGUUUCAUGGUGUAAUAAUCAGCUCUGGCUGCCAUAACAAAAUGUCAUAGACUGGGUGAUUUAAACAACAGAGACCUAUUUUUCCAAGUUCUGGAUGCUAAAAGUCUGAGAUCGGGGUGCCAGCAUGAUCUGGUUUGGUGAGGGAUCUUUUCCUGGCCUAUAGAAAGCUGCCUUCUCACAGUGUCCUCACAUGGCAGAGACAGAGUGUGCUUCUUCUUACAAGGGCACUACUAAUUCCUUCAUGAGGUCUCCAACCUUAUGACCUGAUCUAAACCUAAUUAUCUCCCAAAGGCCCCAUCUCCAUAUACCAUCAUAUUGGGGAUUAGGGCUUCAACAUAUGAGUUUGGGUGGUGGGGCAUACAAUUCAGUCAUAGCAGAUGGCCUCCAUUGAAGGGGGCUGGAGAGUAGUAAGCCCAUUCUGAUACCCAGGUAUAUCUUUCCAGGAACAUUCUUGUCAUUUAGGUUUUCCAUCUCUUGACUCUUGUUAUUUUCUCAAUUGUUUCAGAAAUUAGGUAGCCCAAAAGUGGGAAUGCUGGAUCAUAUGGUUGUUUUAUGAUUUUAAUUUCUUGAGGGACCCCCAUACUGUUUCCCACAGUGGCUGCAGUAAUUUACAUUCCAACCAAUAGUGCACAAGGAGAAUACAGGUGCUAUUUAUUGGGUCUCUCAAGGUCUCCAGGAAAGUACAACCUAAUUUUAGAUUAGACUGAUGGAAAGGAGACUGAGCUCUGCUUUGAAGUUAAUGAAAGUUUGUAUGAUAAUCACAAAUUCCAAUUUCUUUUUCAAACUGCCAAAAUCAAUUCUUUUUCUGCCUUGUCCAUUUUCCUGAGACACUGCUCAGUUCCCUGAGACAUUAACGAGGCCUUGAUAAACAUCAUAUUUAAGAAUAUCACCCGGAUUAACUUUGCCCUAGAGUUGUUUUCACUUCCAAGACUUUCUUUUGAUGUGUAUUGUACCAGGAACAGAUGAACAAACCACAUUUGGGAUUGUUAAACUAUUUCUCAAAAUAUUUUUCAAAUUUUUAAAAACCAAAAUGCAUCCUCAUAAACACUUUUCCCAUUAAAGCAAUGUGUGUUGUAGAGAAAAUUCUUUCCAUAUGGUUCUGAUUCGUUUACACUUAACUCAUCAAAAAGCUGUUUAGGGAAAAAAAAUACUUGAUUGCCUAGGAAAUUGUUUUCAUCUUUUUAUUUUAAAAACAGAAUAAGUUAUCCAGAGUAAACAAAAUUUAAAGUGGACAGUUGAUAUCUGAAUUCCAUUUUGGUGUUCUAAGCUUCAUUGUUCUACACUCAAGAAUUCACAUUGCCAUAUCCAGACCAAACAAUUACUGCAGUAUCUAUAAAUGUGUAUUGCUCUCUAGAAAAAUACAAAGAUGUAGUUGUUGUCCCAUAUACCACUGUUAUAAUAACCUAUUCUGAAAAUAUAACUCAGUUAAAACACAAUAUAACGAAGAUUACUAAAACCAGGUCCCAGAUUAAAUAAGUGCAUUACUAAAACAUGUGUUUCAAAGAAUACUGGAAUAAAAAUAUUGAUAGUGCUAACUUCUAUAGGGAUUUGGAGAUGAAAACAAUAAUUUAAUAUGAAGUUAUACUUAUUUUAUACUUGAAAUUGAGCUCAGGUUUACCAGUGAUGAAUAGAGUAUGUCCUUAAGGGCUGUUCUUAACUCUUGAAACAACUCACAACUUGGGAAUGUGAAUGUUAUUGAAUCAGAAAUGGGUCUUACCAAUAAACUUUGAAAGAUAAUAAAAACUGAUAUUGAAGUGUACCUCCAAAAUUAUGAUUUUUAACACAUUUUGGAAAGUUAAUAUAUUCUAACCAGAGAGGCCACAUUUCAGCUUUACUACCUUGUGAGUUAUCACACAAAUGCACAUUAGCAACACUAUAAUAUUUCAUGGAAGGCACAAAUUAGAAUGACAUGUUGAAAAAUGUUUUAAUAUUUAAUCAUAAUUAAAUAAGGCCAUGAGUACCUAACUUCAAACUUUUAGUUGUAAAUUGAAUCAAUUCAGAUAUCAAUUAUAUGCAAAUGGAUACAAUUUGCAAUAUUCAGAUGAUUAACAUGGUAUAGGCAUACUACUAGUGGGAUAUUAACUUUUUUUUAAUAAUCAGGUUAUGUAGGGAAUAGAGAAGUUCUUCUUCAAAGUUGCCUAAAUCCAUAAAAGGUGUAUCAUUCCCUGGUUAAAUGUUUGAAUGUGCAUAUUCUGAGGUGGCUCCAACAUGUUCCAGCCAGUUGAGAUAAGGCUAAAUGAGUCCCGGAUCCAGAUGCAUGACAUUCCUUAUUUGGGAACCCCUCUGACCUCUUAUCAUUAAUUUCCUCUUUCUUUGUCCUCUUUUCCCUUCUGCCUAUUUAGGAAAGCUUAAGAUUUUUAGCCAAUCAAGUUAAGUUUAGAGUGUGAGGUCCCACCCCAGCCAAUGGGAACAGGACACAGCCAUAGAGGAUUGCAUCAAGACGUAAAAGUUAUAAAUGUCCUUGUUUCCUUUGUUUGGUAUGCUCUCCUUACUAGACAGCUGACGAGUGCACCCUUUCUGCAGAAAGUAAACUAGCCUUGCUGAAGAAUCCUUUGUCUCGGUGUUGAUCUUUCAGGACAUCGAACACCCUUGCCCAACAGGUUAUUAAUCAUUAUAUUCCUCCAGAUUAUUUGUACCAAUAGAUUAACAACAUUCAAAGAUGUGAAAUAGAAAUUAAUGAAGAAAAAUUAUCUCCUCAGCAGAGUAUGGUCAGUUAUGUUCUGUAAAACAUGUAUAUAAACAAACAUCUGCCUCCUAACAGAUUUCUUUUGUAAAAUCAUACUAAAUAAUUAUGACAGUCAUUUUGAAUGUCUAUAUAUUUUCAAUCAAAAUUGUCUUGCCUUUUAGAAAUGCUGUCUUAAUCUUUUACACAGGAAAACUGAGGAUCAGAGCAGUAAUGUAACUUCUGAAGCUAAUACAAAACUAGGUUUGCCUUGAAACAAAGUCUGGAUUGUUCUAAUGAAUAAGUUCUUCGCAGUAUAAUGCUAUUUCUCUCAAAUCUCUUAAUUAGAGUCUGAGAUAAUUUUCUCUUUAACAGGGACUGCUGCAUAUUUUUACAAGUUAUUCCUGGCUAAAAUUCAGUAACAUGCAUAACUUUGUAAGAUGUUUUUCUUUAAAGGCAUAGUUUCACAUUUACUUAUUAUUAAUAUAUAACAAAAAUUGACAAAAUACAGCUCAUAAGUAAAAUCUAUCUUUCCACCUAUUUUUUGUACAGCUUGGGAAAUAAGAAUGGUUUUAAUACUUUUAAAUGACUAAAAAAAAAGAAUAAUAUUUCAUGAUGUGAAAGUUAUAUGAAAUUUGAAUUUCAAUAUCCGUAAAUAAUGUUUUAUUGGAACACAGCCACACUCAUUUGCUCAUUGUCCAUUGCUGUUUCUGUGCUACAAUGACAAAAUUAAGUAAUUUCCAUAAUGACUAUAUGGCCUGGAAAACCUAAAAUAUUUAUGACCUGGCCCAUUACAGAAACAUUUUCUGAUCCUUGAUAUAUAAUAAUAUAUUAAUAGUAUAUGCAAUUUACCAUUUAAAUAAUAUGAUCACC
Molecule: long non-coding RNA, 5135 nt
Filed under: Homo sapiens (human)
Lineage: Eukaryota; Metazoa; Chordata; Mammalia; Primates; Hominidae
Description: HSALNT0125095
Source: RNAcentral